This is a long non-coding RNA of Homo sapiens (human), 202 nucleotides long. RefSeq lists it as uncharacterized. The record is from RefSeq and is a predicted model, not a curated record. Lineage: Eukaryota; Metazoa; Chordata; Mammalia; Primates; Hominidae. The transcript is spliced from 3 exons.
GCCAGGUCCCUCCAUACCUGAUCUCAAUUAACUCACUCACCAGGAGCCAGGUCCCUCCAUACCUGACCUCAAUUAACUCACUCACCAGGAGCCAGGUCCCUCCAUACCUCACUCACCAGCAGCCAGGUCCCUCCACACCUCAUCUCAAUUAACUCACUCACCAGGAGCCAGGUCCCUCCACACCGGGUCUCAAUUCACUCAC